GAGGGGGAUAACACUUGGAAACAGGUGCUAAUACCGCAUAACAGUUUAUGCCGCAUGGCAUAAGAGUGAAAGGCGCUUUCGGGUGUCGCUGAUGGAUGGACCCGCGGUGCAUUAGCUAGUUGGUGAGGUAACGGCUCACCAAGGCCACGAUGCAUAGCCGACCUGAGAGGGUGAUCGGCCACACUGGGACUGAGACACGGCCCAGACUCCUACGGGAGGCAGCAGUAGGGAAUCUUCGGCAAUGGACGAAAGUCUGACCGAGCAACGCCGCGUGAGUGAAGAAGGUUUUCGGAUCGUAAAACUCUGUUGUUAGAGAAGAACAAGGACGUUAGUAACUGAACGUCCCCUGACGGUAUCUAACCAGAAAGCCACGGCUAACUACGUGCCAGCAGCCGCGGUAAUACGUAGGUGGCAAGCGUUGUCCGGAUUUAUUGGGCGUAAAGCGAGCGCAGGCGGUUUCUUAAGUCUGAUGUGAAAGCCCCCGGCUCAACCGGGGAGGGUCAUUGGAAACUGGGAGACUUGAGUGCAGAAG
RNAcentral lists this ribosomal RNA (532 nucleotides) under Enterococcus faecalis. Its description in RNAcentral is "bacterial SSU rRNA". It matches the Rfam family "Bacterial small subunit ribosomal RNA", at positions 136 to 654 of the family's 1533-position model. The record is from RNAcentral. Lineage: Bacteria; Bacillati; Bacillota; Bacilli; Lactobacillales; Enterococcaceae.